GAACGGUCAACGCCCGCUUCGCGGGCUUUUGCCCGUAUUAAUAUGUUCAAAUACAAAAAAAAAUGAUAUAACAAAUCGUCGCAAUCGUGGCGUAUUAAAGAUGGUGUCCGCCUAGCGACCGAGACGUCACGAAUAGAAGAAGAGGAUAUGAGCGUUUUCAUCUUAAAGAUUUUUACGCAAACCCUCAACCGUACCCAAGAAAAGUAUUGUCCACCACACCCAUCAUCCCACGAGUUCGAGAACGAUACCGCCGAACAGCUGACAAUAUUCCAGCAGUCCAACGGCACUUUCCACGUCGACCGCAUGUCGUUUAAAAAACUAAUGUCUGUACAUGCAUACUUGCGACAUGAAGAUUCGUUGAAGCAGAUGCCCUAUACUUCUCGUUAUGAUGUCAGAAGAAGUUAGGCAGACAUUGUCGCCGUAUUUCACCACAGUUGAGGUCUGUGGUGUGAAGAUCCACUCGUCCAAAACUAUGUUAUGGACUUGAUGUAGCGUAUCUCCAGCCCAGGAUAUGCACAGUGAGCAGGAUUCUCAGGAGAUACCACGGGACCGUGCGUGCUUUUUAUAGAGGAAAACGUAGGCCAUGACCAGACUACGUCAGUGCGCAGACUAGGCUUGAGCUAAGCUGACCGCAUAUGCUAUUAGACUAGACUAUUGUUCGAAUGACCGGAUGUUUUACAAAAACGCGCAGCGAAAGUCAUUGUACAAAAGCCAAAUAGAACACCUUCAUACGAAUUGUUUUUACAGCUUAAUUGGCUCUCGUUUAAUAAUAGAUGUAAAUACCACACGGCAAUCUUGGUAUAUAAAUGUGUCAGACUCCAGAAUAUUUAAAUGAUAUUAUAACUUUUUUUCGAAAUCACAAAUAUAACUUAAGAUCUGCCACCCAUGACGAUAUUGGUAAUACCAAAGCGAAUACAGGUUAUAAAAAAAACGAGCUUUUUCAUACCAUAGCAUGGAUAUUUGGAACAGUAUAUCUAUUGCAAUAAGAAUGACAUGCUCUAUCCCUGCCUUUAAAAGGGAAUAUCGGUGCUAGGCUACAGAUAUCCUGGGGAUAUAUCUAACGUUAUAUAAUGAUCGUGAUAUCAUGAUACUCCUAGCUCCCUGUCUAAAAUUUCGCUUUUGCCUCCUAGAUGGGACAACUUGGAGACUCUUCUACGAAACAUAACACAGUUUUACUAAAUAAUAUUGUUUAUAAAGUUCUCUUUUUUGCUGAUAUUGAUAUUAACAUCCAUAUAUAUCGUUUAUGUUUGUAUCUAUCUAACCAUUGUUUAUAUAUAGUUAUAUUGUGUUUUGAUCUUCGUGUCUUGUAUAUGGAGGAAUAAAAGUAUAUAUGUGUCUGUCUAAAAGGCAAAAUGUGUGUUAUGUAUGGGUGUACGAAAUAUUGUUUGUAUGUUUAACCUGUUAUAGACCUAUAUGUGUAUGUUAUUUCAAGA
This is a long non-coding RNA of Dreissena polymorpha, 1433 nucleotides long. RefSeq lists it as uncharacterized. The record is from RefSeq and is a predicted model, not a curated record. The transcript is spliced from 3 exons. NCBI's taxonomy places the organism in Eukaryota, Metazoa, Mollusca, Bivalvia, Myida, Dreissenidae.